This 2530-nucleotide long non-coding RNA is filed under the name Zea mays. RNAcentral describes it as "long non-coding RNA (ZMAY_LNC001343)". The record is from RNAcentral. Lineage: Eukaryota; Viridiplantae; Streptophyta; Magnoliopsida; Poales; Poaceae.
UAAAAUUUUGGCAGCAUCUCCUUUGCAAAAUUGCAUAAAUGGGGGGGGGGAAGACAACAGUGUAUAAACAUAUAUCAUGACAAAAACAUACCAAGGAUUAUUAAUCGGCUAGCAAAGGGAAGUUAAACAUACGACAUGAACUGAAUUAACCAGUGCGCACGACUAGCAAAAAAAAUAAACUUCUUUUGACAACAAGUUUCUAAUUAAAUCAUGGCUACGCCUGGGCAUGAGAGUGAAAGUGGACGUGCUGCUACUCCCCUCAUUCCCAACAUGUAUCAAGUACCUGCAUUGAGUAAUGCAAGAGUGAGAUGACACAUCUCAGCAAGUAAAAUAAUAUCAAACUGUUUAACCACAUAAGAAUAUUGUUUUACCACCACUUGAUUUCACAACCUUCUUAUUACAAAGGUGCAGCACGUAUACCACGUACAACACUCCUAGCUACCACACCUCGCAGGUAGAAACCACAAUAGUAACAUAGUAAUGUCACUCUUCAUAUAUAUACCUCAUGAGUGCAAAUGUCUGCAAAUGCAAGGAUGACUUCUGCCUUCAUACCUCUAAGGAUAUGAAGCCGCAUCGUACCCCUCCUCGGGCAACGUACGAUGCUAAAAAAUGUACCGGUACGGUCGGACCAUAAGAUCACGACAUAACUUCAAAAUGCAAGAUGGAUGAUGCGAUGAGCAUGUCAUGCCUACAACACUUCAUAUAACGUGAUUCAAAAAAAAUACUUCAACUUCAUCCAAGAUGUGAAUCAACCACAUAUAUCAUUACCAAAUUAUGAUCAUCCACAAUAUUAGACAAUUGAGAAUUAAUACUUCCAAACAAAUAAACUUCUUCAUAGAAUUCAAUGAUUAACAUAAUUAAAACUUAUGCAUACUCAAUGUCAGGGAAUAGGAUGCAACCCAAACGGUAGCAACCACCACUGUAUUUACUUGCCUUUACCGGAAGUUUGGGCAGAUCCCUAAGUACGAUCCGGAAGUCCACCACCUGUUUUUGACACACAACUUAGUGCACCAAUUUCACAUAACCCGGCUCAUAAACGACGCCGCACCUACGCACAAACUCAAACCCCGCCGCGGGUUACAUCUCUCCCCACACCCACCAAACUGCAGCGGCGCUGCUUAAUAAUUUCAUAACUUCAAAAUUAUGACAGCAUUGGUAACAACCAAAAACUCCAGAGGCAUCUACAUAAAAUUUCCCACAAGUUUUGUAUACAAUUUAUAAUUAAAUUCCAACAUCUAAUUAGCCCAAAACAGUUCACAAGAUGAACCCUGUAAUCUGUUUUUUUCUCUUUUGGACAGCGACAUACCCGGAUUCAAACAGCGAUAUCUUUUAAAAUAUAAUUCCAAUUCAAGCGCAUAAGUACUCAUUGGAAAGAUAAGACAAAGCCAUACAUGAUUAUCAUACUGGUUAGCACUAAUUAACCACGAAAAAUUCCCAGAAAUUGCUAAUACUACUGCUGUUCACCCACCUGAAAAAUCUGUUUGUUUGGACAGCAACAUACCCGGAUUCAAACAGCGAUAUCUUUUAAAAUAUAAUUCCAAAUCAAGCACAUAAGUACUCAUUGGAAAGAUAAGACAAAGCCCUACAUGAUUAUAAUACUGGUUAAUACUAAUUACCCACGAAAAAUUCCCAGAAACUGCUAAUACUACUGCUGUUCACCCACCUGAAAAAUCUGUUUGUUUGGACAGCAACAUACCCGGAUUCAAACAGCGAUAUCUUUUAAAAUAUAAUUCCAAAUCAAGCACAUAAGUACUCAUUGGAAAGAUAAAACAAAGCCCUACAUGAUUAUAAUACUGGUUAAUACUAAUUACCCACGAAAAAUUCCCAGAAACUGCUAAUACUACUGCUGUUCACCCACCUGAAAAAUCUGUUUGUUUGGACAGCAACAUACCCGGAUUCAAACAGCGAUAUCUUUUAAAAUAUAAUUCCAAAUCAAGCACAUAAGUACUCAUUGGAAAGAUAAGACAAAGCCCUACAUGAUUAUAAUACUGGUUAAUACUAAUUACCCACGAAAAAUUCCCAGAAACUGCUAAUACUACUGCUGUUCAUCCACCUCAAAAAUCUGUUUUUUUGGACAGCAACAUACCCGGAUUCAAACAACGAUAUCUCCUAAAUUAUAACUCCGAAUCGAGCGCAUAAGUACUCGUUGGAAAGGUAUGACAAAGCUCUACAUGAUUAUCCCACUGAUUCCCACUAAUUACCCCACGAAAAUUCCCAGAAAUCCCUAGAACUACUGCUGUUCACCCACUCACAAAAUUCCUGGACAGCACCUCUACCGAUUCGCAAAGAUAAACACAUAAUCCAAUUGAUUGCAGCACAAAAACAACAAAAGUUAAUCACAAAUUCACCUUAGGUUCUUCCCUUCCUCCUUCCUUCUUCCUCCCUCCAAACUCCAAUUGAGAUCGCAGCCACACGACGGAGAACCACACGGGAGGGCUGCACCUUGGAGGAGGGGGAGAAAUGGGGGGGCUAGGGUUUUGGGUGGUGAGGGCUGCAAAGAUUUGAGGAGGAAGAAGAUGGGAGAGGGGGG